GCCUCCUUCCGCGGCCCCGCUCCCUGCCACAGCCACAGCGCGGGUCCCACCGCACCGCAUCGCACCGCACCCUGUUUCCCCACCUACUAAUGAGCACGGUGGGCUCCUGCCCAUGGGCAAGGGGAGACCGGCUGUAGGAACAGCCUCUUAUGAAAGCAUUGGUUUCCCCCUUGCAUGCCCCCCCCCCACAGCACAGCGCAAACCCAGACAGGACCAGAUCUGCAACUAAUGUGACAGAAGAGAAAUUGAAAGAGCGAGUCAGUUCUACACACUAGCAUCUUGAGUCCUGAGAAAAAGC
Molecule: long non-coding RNA, 298 nt
Organism: Gavialis gangeticus (Gharial)
Lineage: Eukaryota; Metazoa; Chordata; Crocodylia; Gavialidae
Exons: 2
Source: RefSeq, a predicted model, not a curated record